Long non-coding RNA from Rattus norvegicus (Norway rat), 852 nucleotides. RefSeq lists it as uncharacterized. The record is from RefSeq and is a predicted model, not a curated record. NCBI's taxonomy places the organism in Eukaryota, Metazoa, Chordata, Mammalia, Rodentia, Muridae.
CGUAAGCUCCUCAGGGGUUUGACAAGCUUGCUGUCCUUCCCACUUCCCCUGUUCUCACACUUCUUGGCAACACAGGCACUGUCUCUUAGCGACAGGGUUUUGGGGGAGCCAUGGCCCCCACCAUGCUGCCUGUGGGAUGCAUGCACAGCACCCUCCCCCAGCAGAGUCACCAAGCCUCAGGCAGCAGCAGACAGGGGUACGCCGGCCCGAGUUCAUGGCUGGACAGCCAUUCUCUCUGUGCCUGUCCAGACCUCAGGGUGAAGCUAUCUGAUCCAUGCCAUGCUUCCUGAACGCCUGAGAAUGGACCAGCUGGCCGGGCUGCCUACAGAGAGCACAGCUGCUGUUAGCAUCGCCUCGGGUCCAGUACACCCACAUCGCUACAAGCGUGCAGGAUCAGACAGUGAUCGUUUCUGCCUAGGUGUAUUCGAGCAAAGAGGAACUGAAGGAGGAGAAGGAACAAGGAGGCUCCGGGUCAGGAGCAGCAGCAGCACUGAGCUAGGUGGACUGGGUGCUACGUAGGCCUCGGGUUGGCCGUUUCACAAUACACUAACUCUCCCUCGCUUUAGUCAGUGGUGGUGCCUACAUCCAGACGAAAUGAAGGGGGCUAACGAAGGUCAGGCAGAAGGGGGCAUAUUCAUACUCCUGAUUUACAUCCUCAUCCGCGUCUCUGAGGAGGCUGUGUUCUGCUUUCGGGAAGUGAUUCCCGGUAUACUUGUAAUAUCCCAGAGAAUAUACCUAGCUAUGGGCCACCGUGACCUCCUGUACUCCAUUUCGGCCCCCAGAUUUCUAUGGCAAAGACCAGUCAGACCCUAAAUAGCAUGGCUGCAAUAGUUAAAGAUUUAUCCCUUGUAA